This 484-nucleotide ribosomal RNA is filed under the name uncultured bacterium. RNAcentral's name for it is "partial 16S ribosomal RNA". It matches the Rfam family "Bacterial small subunit ribosomal RNA", at positions 30 to 507 of the family's 1533-position model. The record is from RNAcentral.
AUUGAACGCUGGCGGCAGGCCUAACACAUGCAAGUCGAGCGGAUGAAGGGAGCUUGCUCCUGGAUUCAGCGGCGGACGGGUGAGUAAUGCCUAUGAAUCUGCCUGGUAUUGGGGGAUAACGUCCGGAAACGGGCGCUAAUACCGCAUACGUCCUGAGGGAGCAAGUGGGGGAUCUUCGGACCUCACGCUAUCCGAUGAGCCUAGGUCGGAUUAGCUAGUUGGUGGGGUAAAGGCCUACCAAGGCGACGAUCCGUAACUGGUCUGAGAGGAUGAUCAGUCACACUGGAACUGAGACACGGUCCAGACUCCUACGGGAGGCAGCAGUGGGGAAUCUUGGACAAUGGGCGAAAGCCUGAUCCAGCCAUGCCGCGUGUGUGAAGAAGGUCUUCGGAUUGUAAAGCACUUUAAGUUGGGAGGAAGGGCAGUAAGUUAAUACCUUGCUGUUUUGACGUUACCAACAGAAUAAGCACCGGCUAACUUCGUG